AGAGUUUGAUCCUGGCUCAGGAUGAACGCUGGCGGCGUGCCUAAUACAUGCAAGUCGAGCGAACGGACGAGAAGCUUGCUUCUCUGAUGUUAGCGGCGGACGGGUGAGUAACACGUGGAUAACCUACCUAUAAGACUGGGAUAACUUCGGGAAACCGGAGCUAAUACCGGAUAAUAUUUUGAACCGCAUGGUUCAAAAGUGAAAGACGGUCUUGCUGUCACUUAUAGAUGGAUCCGCGCUGCAUUAGCUAGUUGGUAAGGUAACGGCUUACCAAGGCAACGAUGCAUAGCCGACCUGAGAGGGUGAUCGGCCACACUGGAACUGAGACACGGUCCAGACUCCUACGGGAGGCAGCAGUAGGGAAUCUUCCGCAAUGGGCGAAAGCCUGACGGAGCAACGCCGCGUGAGUGAUGAAGGUCUUCGGAUCGUAAAACUCUGUUAUUAGGGAAGAACAUAUGUGUAAGUAACUGUGCACAUCUUGACGGUACCUAAUCAGAAAGCCACGGCUAACUACGUGCCAGCAGCCGCGGUAAUACGUAGGUGGCAAGCGUUAUCCGGAAUUAUUGGGCGUAAAGCGCGCGUAGGCGGUUUUUUAAGUCUGAUGUGAAAGCCCACGGCUCAACCGUGGAGGGUCAUUGGAAACUGGAAAACUUGAGUGCAGAAGAGGAAAGUGGAAUUCCAUGUGUAGCGGUGAAAUGCGCAGAGAUAUGGAGGAACACCAGUGGCGAAGGCGACUUUCUGGUCUGUAACUGACGCUGAUGUGCGAAAGCGUGGGGAUCAAACAGGAUUAGAUACCCUGGUAGUCCACGCCGUAAACGAUGAGUGCUAAGUGUUAGGGGGUUUCCGCCCCUUAGUGCUGCAGCUAACGCAUUAAGCACUCCGCCUGGGGAGUACGACCGCAAGGUUGAAACUCAAAGGAAUUGACGGGGACCCGCACAAGCGGUGGAGCAUGUGGUUUAAUUCGAAGCAACGCGAAGAACCUUACCAAAUCUUGACAUCCUUUGACAACUCUAGAGAUAGAGCUUUCCCCUUCGGGGGACAAAGUGACAGGUGGUGCAUGGUUGUCGUCAGCUCGUGUCGUGAGAUGUUGGGUUAAGUCCCGCAACGAGCGCAACCCUUAAGCUUAGUUGCCAUCAUUAAGUUGGGCACUCUAAGUUGACUGCCGGUGACAAACCGGAGGAAGGUGGGGAUGACGUCAAAUCAUCAUGCCCCUUAUGAUUUGGGCUACACACGUGCUACAAUGGACAAUACAAAGGGCAGCGAAACCGUGAGGUCAAGCAAAUCCCAUAAAGUUGUUCUCAGUUCGGAUUGUAGUCUGCAACUCGACUACAUGAAGCUGGAAUCGCUAGUAAUCGUAGAUCAGCAUGCUACGGUGAAUACGUUCCCGGGUCUUGUACACACCGCCCGUCACACCACGAGAGUUUGUAACACCCGAAGCCGGUGGAGUAACCUUUUAGG
Molecule: ribosomal RNA, 1458 nt
Filed under: Staphylococcus aureus FVRH6079
Lineage: Bacteria; Bacillati; Bacillota; Bacilli; Caryophanales; Staphylococcaceae
Description: bacterial SSU rRNA
Rfam family: Bacterial small subunit ribosomal RNA
Source: RNAcentral